This 467-nucleotide ribosomal RNA is filed under the name uncultured bacterium. RNAcentral's name for it is "partial 16S ribosomal RNA". It matches the Rfam family "Bacterial small subunit ribosomal RNA", at positions 29 to 507 of the family's 1533-position model. The record is from RNAcentral.
ACGAACGCUGGCGGCGUGCUUAACACCUGCACGUCGCACGGAAAGGCCCUGCUUUUGUGGGGUGCUCGAGUGGCGAACGGGUGAGUAACACGUGAGUAACCUGCCCUUGACUUUGGGAUAACUUCAGGAAACUGGGGCUAAUACCGGAUAGGAGCUCCUGCUGCAUGGUGGGGGUUGGAAAGUUUCGGCGGUUGGGGAUGGACUCGCGGCUUAUCAGCUUGUUGGUGGGGUAGUGGCUUACCAAGGCUUUGACGGGUAGCCGGCCUGAGAGGGUGACCGGCCACAUUGGGACUGAGAUACGGCCCAGACUCCUACGGGAGGCAGCAGUGGGGAAUAUUGCACAAUGGGCGGAAGCCUGAUGCAGCAACGCCGCGUGCGGGAUGACGGCCUUCGGGUUGUAAACCGCUUUCGCCUGUGACGAAGCGUGAGUGACGGUAAUGGGUAAAGAAGCACCGGCUAACUACGUG